UGAUGUGAUGACUUCCCUAUCAAUGAAAACAAAGAAUUCAGAGAGACAAAACAAAGAGAAAUAUUACAAAUGGUGCCAAGAAUAUUACAUCAACUUGUAAACUCGCAAUCGAGUCAGGAUGUACUAUUCUUUUUUACUUGAUCAGGUAGUGCUAGUACCAUAAGGUAAAACCCGUAUGUAGUUUUUUAAAUUUUAUAGCCUAGUCAAAAUAGCUCACAAGGAAAGAAUAAUAUCAAAUAUUAAAAGCGACAUGGAGAAGUGAAAUCUCUCAAUCAAAGUUAUUGUAUGGUUUUUACUCAAGUUUUAAUGAGUAAAUAAUCAAACAGAUACAGCUUAACUCCUAACUCAAAACACAACGAAAUGAGAUCAAACAAUAUAGGACAACAAGAAAAUCCAACCUCUUUUGGCUUUCUUCUCUUUUUUUAUUUUUAUUUUAUAAUUUCCAGUAUAUUCCAACAUCAAAUCCAAAGAAACCCGACAAUGUUCAGAGCAGCACAUUUGAGAGAGUUGUAAAAGAGUUCAAGCGUUUAUUAGGGGAAAUUAGAAAUAACAAUAGGAAAGUAUAUCAAAUACUAUAGCAAAAGGUCCGCAUGCAUCCUACUCUCCCCAAACCCCACUUGUGGAAUUACACUACGUAUGUCAUUGUUGUUGAAUCAAAUACUAUAGCAGUGCAUUUAAUUGCACUCUAAGGACCACAGUUGUAGUUCAAUUGUACUGCUUCACAUGCAGUCACAUGGCAUGGAAAAUGUUAUGUCUAUAAUGUACAGCCUUCUGGGUUCAUAAAAUGUAAAUAUGCUGCCAACCAAAGGAAAUUUUAAAACACCGAUCACCACGUAGGAACAGAAAAUUGGUAAUUCUGGGCAACUCUAAAUGAGUUAGAACCACAAUAAAACCUCAACUUUGCAACCGAAACAUAUUUGUCAGUGCUCCAAGCAUUCUGUUUCUCCUUCCCCUAACGUUGAUAUUUAAUGUAAAGCAAUUGGAAAUCUAUUCAUAAAAAACUAAGGGUACUCUUAAUAAGCAAACGUAGUGUAAAAAUGCAUAAACAGGAUAAUUGUAUGAAGAACAGUUCAAACAGGGAAAGUUGACAGGCAUAGACAAAAACAUUGUCCGCUCUAAUUGUGACCAAACAUUCUGCUAAGUCGCGGUCUUCACAACAGAGGAAAAAUAAAUUCCCGCAGCAUAGAAAUGUAACUUCCUUUAAUCUCUGCACAUAACUGUGGUCUGUUGUUUCUGAAAAGGAUAUCUCAGAUCUUCUAUGCCUUAGAGAACAUGACCAUUAAGAACAUCUGAAGAAUAUUUCUAACUACACUAUUGAAUAAUACUUUGAACGGGAAUAAAGAGGUGCAAAGAGAAGAGGUGAAUAUUAAAGAGUGCAGUUGUCCUAGGAUCCACGAGACAAGCAAAGGACAGGCCAGAUAACCAUGAUAGUACCAUCCCUCUCUAAAUUAAUGGAAAGAACUGAUGUAUACCUCAGAAGAGAAAAAUAGUUAAGAGGACGGCUUUGAUGAUUUAGUCAUAUAAGAUUAUACAGGCAUCUGCAAUUGAAAAGAUGGAGUGAUAGGCAAGACACUUACCCUUUAAGAGGAGACAAAGGCAUAUAAACUUAAUUUUUUGAAAAAUAAAACAAAAAAGGUAAUGGAUGCUCAGCAAGAACAAAUUUCAACUCUAACUGGGAAGCUAACAAAUCAUAUUACGGUUUCUAUCUCUCAGCCUCGCUGAUAUAUCACAAAACCCAAAGCAGAAACACAGUAAGAUAUAGUAUUUGAUAUUUGACACCAUUCAUUUUUUCUGUGGAAAACGAGGUAGUUAACAGAAAGGGACAUAUAGGAACAGAAGCUGCUCCUUGGGCUAGCUUGUUGAACGACAACAGCCGUUACUUUCCGGAUUUCUUGUAUGCAGCAAUUAUCUGGCUCAUCUGCUCACAGUUGCAGGUCGAGACUAAAAGUAAAAUCGCUAUCUAUGUUGGUUGCAAAAAAUGAAGAGAUCAGAGAAUUGUAUAGCUCAGUGACAAUACACCAAUGUGAAAUGCCGUCCCAAGCAGAACUUGUAUUCUCAAGAGCGAGCAAAAUAGAAGUUAAAGAUUCGCAUUAAGUGCAACUUAAUCCUUAGGGAGGCUUAGUCUAUUAUUAGAAAAAAUUCUCAUCCGAAGCAUAUGCCAGAAAAGAGCACUAUCAGAGAAGUAGAAAACCAUUAAUACCACUAGAAAUACUGCUUUAGAUGGAAGAACUGCAUGUUUCUUGCAUAAUAUGACUUGAAUGACAUUAAUACUUGGAACAACGGAAAAAAUUAUUUGAAAGGCAUUACCAAAAGUUUAACACUCUCUUUCCCUGAAACAGAUUAUGAUCUACUGUAGAGAUUACAUAUCAGUAAAAAAAGUAUAGAUCAGAGAAGAACAAAACGCUUGAGGAGAUGUUCAUUCUAGAACAUGUCAAUAACAUAUAACAUAGGUGAUACAACUGAGCUCAUUAGAUUUCAACAAGAAGAGUGAAUAGAGAGCACGUCCAGUACAUAUAAAUCCACUGCUUUAUCAUCUGGAAGUGUUGAAGUAAUGCUUAGUCAAAAGUCAAUCAGUACCCACAGGAAAAAAAACUUGGAUAGUACCUAAUUUUACAAAAGGUGAAUGCAGAACAUCAGCCUAUUCAAAGAGAAGAAAAAUGCAAAACAGGAAACAAAGUUGAAAAAAAAGACAAUUAUGAGAAUUGAGACACUUACUAAGAAUACAGAAAGGAUAAUGCUCACCAGCUGGUUGGCAGCAAACCUCAUCAACAUGUUUGAUGUCACCAAAUCCCAUGGACAAUGCCACCAUUAUGUAGUUUUCCAAUAGCAUCACCAAUCAGUUCAUCUGUGAUGGUUUCUUCAAUAAUCUCAAGUAAACCAAACCAAGGAAUAUAUUUUCAUGAGGGACCUUCAACAUACUCAAAGGUGAGAUGUGUAGCAGCGUCAAUAGCAUAUUGCUUUGAGUAUGCACCUGGCCUCCUACUCCGUUAUUCAAAAUUGUUAGCAGCACAACUUUGAGGUAUGAAGAGACUAAAGAAUACAACUGGUAUCAUUUACACCAACCCAUUUAAGUCUUCACGAGUAAGCUUUGAUUCCACAGUUAGAUGCCUGUAUUUCUUUGUAAACAAUGGACCUC
RNAcentral lists this long non-coding RNA (3136 nucleotides) under Solanum tuberosum (potato). RNAcentral describes it as "long non-coding RNA (STUB_LNC009252)". The record is from RNAcentral. Lineage: Eukaryota; Viridiplantae; Streptophyta; Magnoliopsida; Solanales; Solanaceae.